RNAcentral lists this ribosomal RNA (484 nucleotides) under uncultured bacterium. RNAcentral's name for it is "partial 16S ribosomal RNA". It matches the Rfam family "Bacterial small subunit ribosomal RNA", at positions 29 to 507 of the family's 1533-position model. The record is from RNAcentral.
AUUGAACGCUGGCGGCAGGCCUAACACAUGCAAGUCGAGCGGAGGAAGGGAGCUUGCACCUGGAUUCAGCGGCGGACGGGUGAGUAAUGCCUAGGAAUCUGCCUGGUCGUGGGGGAUAACGUCCGGAAAAGGGCGCUAAUACCGCAUACGUCCUGUGGGAGAAAGUGGGGGAUCUUCGGACCUCACGCUAUCAGAUAAGCAUAGGUCGGUUUAGCUAGGUGGUGGGGUAAAGGCCUACCAAGGCGACGGACCUUAACUGGUACGAGAGGAUGGGCAGUCAGCCUGGAACGGAGAGACGGCCCAGACUCCUAGAGGAGGCCGCCGUGCGGACUCCUGGGGAAGGGGGGAGAGCGGGAUCCAGCCAGACCGGGUGUGUGAAGAAGGUCUUCGGAUUGUAAAGCGAAUUAAGUUGGGAGGUAGGGCAGUUAGUUAAUACCUGACUAUAAUGACGUUACCAACAGAAGAAGCACCGGCUAACUACGUG